This 1010-nucleotide long non-coding RNA is filed under the name Equus asinus (donkey). RNAcentral's name for it is "lncRNA (ENSEASG00005035015.1)". Lineage: Eukaryota; Metazoa; Chordata; Mammalia; Perissodactyla; Equidae. The record is from RNAcentral.
AAGGGCCUGAACUGUCACUGGCAGUAAUAAGGGAGGAAGAGACUCAAGGGGCAGGAGAUGCCAGUGUUUUAGUUUCAUGACCAGCAUAGUAGCCGUCCAGCAGCAAUGACAGAGGGCCACGUCCUCGGCCCUGCCCCUCCUCGCUCUGCCCUGCCUGCACCCCCUGCGGCUUCCUUUCUUCCUCCCUCCCCUGGCAGGAAAGCCAGGGCUCCGGCCUUGGCGCUUGUUCUAUAGCACAGUCACCUCCAGAAAGGACAGUGAGGUCUCUGAGCCUUUGACCUCCUCUCCUAGAGGCCACCCUCAGGUCUCGUCCCAGAAGACUGGGUCUCUCCUUCCUCGCAGACGUGCAGCAGCACCGGGCAUACUCUCCUGUGACAGUGCUGUGACCGAGUGUGCUCGUUCUAUUUUCUCUUCCGGGUGAGGACCUGCGAAGUGUCGGGGACACCCUUCGACACUGCAAAGUCGUACACACAGGGGGAUCCCAUCUGCACAUUUUAAAUGUUGUCUGAGGCAAUCCUGGAUUUGGAAGUCAGGUUUUUAUGGUAGUUAUUUAACCAAAUCCUACAUUCCAGCUAAAAAAGGAAGCCCAGAGAGAUGGCCAGUGGACGCUGAAAGCGUUCUUCAUGCUCCUCAGAGAGGCGCCGACACUGGGACUGUGUCCACUCUUGGCUGACCAGAGGCGACAAAGGUGGCGGUCUUGCCUCUUCACUGGCACAGUCCAGAGGCUGUGCAGAGGCCAGCUUCCAAGUGUCAAAGCCUGGUGAAGCUGAAAAGAGAAAAACCACUUAUGGGGAAAAAAUUCCUCUCACUGAACUUGUAAAUUUAAGCCCUCAACUAUCGCAAACUUUACAAACUCAUGCAUCACAUUUUGAUCCCAAUCCUAAGAUUAUCAUAUAUAAACAGUGUAGUUCAGACAGAGGUACAGGCUACACACAGAAGGCGCCCCUGGCUGUGUGUUUCCACAGGUGCAGUUCUGGGUAAUGUGUACAUUCAGAAACUCCAAAAGGCAA